Molecule: ribosomal RNA, 518 nt
Filed under: uncultured bacterium
Lineage: Bacteria
Description: bacterial SSU rRNA
Rfam family: Bacterial small subunit ribosomal RNA
Source: RNAcentral
AGAACUUUCCAGAGAUGGAUUGGUGCCUUCGGGAACUCUGAGACAGGUGCUGCAUGGCUGUCGUCAGCUCGUGUUGUGAAAUGUUGGGUUAAGUCCCGCAACGAGCGCAACCCUUUAUCCUUUGUUGCCAGCGAUUCGGUCGGGAACUCAAAGGAGACUGCCAGUGAUAAACUGGAGGAAGGUGGGGAUGACGUCAAGUCAUCAUGGCCCUUACGAGUAGGGCUACACACGUGCUACAAUGGCGCAUACAAAGAGAAGCGACCUCGCGAGAGCAAGCGGACCUCAUAAAGUGCGUCGUAGUCCGGAUUGGAGUCUGCAACUCGACUCCAUGAAGUCGGAAUCGCUAGUAAUCGUAGAUCAGAAUGCUACGGUGAAUACGUUCCCGGGCCUUGUACACACCGCCCGUCACACCAUGGGAGUGGGUUGCAAAAGAAGUAGGUAGCUUAACCUUCGGGAGGGCGCUUACCACUUUGUGAUUCAUGACUGGGGUGAAGUCGUAACAAGGUAAGCGUAGUGCU